GACGAACGCUGGCGGCGUGCUUAACACAUGCAAGUCGAACGGAAAGGCCCUGCUUUUGUGGGGUGCUCGAGUGGCGAACGGGUGAGUAACACGUGAGUAACCUGCCCUUGACUUUGGGAUAACUUCAGGAAACUGGGGCUAAUACCGGAUAGGAGCUCCUGCUGCAUGGUGGGGGUUGGAAAGUUUCGGCGGUUGGGGAUGGACUCGCGGCUUAUCAGCUUGUUGGCGGGGUAGUGGCUUACCAAGGCUUUGACGGGUAGCCGGCCUGAGAGGGUGACCGGCCACAUUGGGACUGAGAUACGGCCCAGACUCCUACGGGAGGCAGCAGUGGGGAAUAUUGCACAAUGGGCGGAAGCCUGAUGCAGCAACGCCGCGUGCGGGAUGACGGCCUUCGGGUUGUAAACCGCUUUCGCCUGUGACGAAGCGUGAGUGACGGUAAUGGGGAAAGAAGCACCGGCGAACUACGU
Molecule: ribosomal RNA, 467 nt
Filed under: uncultured bacterium
Lineage: Bacteria
Description: partial 16S ribosomal RNA
Rfam family: Bacterial small subunit ribosomal RNA
Source: RNAcentral